This 253-nucleotide ribosomal RNA is filed under the name uncultured bacterium. RNAcentral describes it as "partial 16S ribosomal RNA". It matches the Rfam family "Bacterial small subunit ribosomal RNA", at positions 524 to 776 of the family's 1533-position model. The record is from RNAcentral.
UACGGGGGGGGCAAGCGUUGUUCGGAAUUACUGGGCGUAAAGGGUUCGUAGGUGGCCAAUUAAGUCAGACGUGAAAUCCCUCAGCUCAACUGGGGAACUGCGUCUGAGACUGGAUGGCUUGAGUGCAGGAGAGGAACGCGGAAUUCCAGGUGUAGCGGUGAAAUGCGUAGAUAUCUGGAGGAACACCGGUGGCGAAGGCGGUGCUCUGGGCCAGUACUGACGCUGAGGAGCGAAAGCGUGGGGAGCAAACAGG